CGGACGGGUGAGUAACGCGUGGGGAACCUGCCCUGUACAGGGGGAUAACACUUAGAAAUAGGUGCUAAUACCGCAUAAGCGCACAGUAUCGCAUGAUACAGUGUGAAAAACUACCGGUGGUACAGGAUGGACCCGCGUCUGAUUAGCUGGUUGGCGGGGUAACGGCCCACCAAGGCGACGAUCAGUAGCCGGCCUGAGAGGGUGAACGGCCACAUUGGGACUGAGACACGGCCCAACUCCUACGGGAGGCAGCAG
RNAcentral lists this ribosomal RNA (255 nucleotides) under uncultured bacterium. Its description in RNAcentral is "partial 16S ribosomal RNA". It matches the Rfam family "Bacterial small subunit ribosomal RNA", at positions 99 to 354 of the family's 1533-position model. The record is from RNAcentral.